GUAGGGAAUCUUCGGCAAUGGGGGCAACCCUGACCGAGCAACGCCGCGUGAGUGAAGAAGGUUUUCGGAUCGUAAAACUCUGUUGUUAGAGAAGAACGUUAAGUAGAGUGGAAAAUUACUUAAGUGACGGUAUCUAACCAGAAAGGGACGGCUAACUACGUGCCAGCAGCCGCGGUAAUACGUAGGUCCCAAGCGUUGUCCGGAUUUAUUGGGCGUAAAGCGAGCGCAGGUGGUUUCUUAAGUCUGAUGUAAAAGGCAGUGGCUCAACCAUUGUGUGCAUUGGAAACUGGGAGACUUGAGUGCAGGAGAGGAGAGUGGAAUUCCAUGUGUAGCGGUGAAAUGCGUAGAUAUAUGGAGGAACACCGGAGGCGAAAGCGGCUCUCUGGCCUGUAACUGACACUGAGGCUCGAAAGCGUGGGGAGCAAACAGGAUUAGAAACCCCUGUAGUCC
RNAcentral lists this ribosomal RNA (450 nucleotides) under uncultured bacterium. RNAcentral describes it as "bacterial SSU rRNA". It matches the Rfam family "Bacterial small subunit ribosomal RNA", at positions 354 to 796 of the family's 1533-position model. The record is from RNAcentral.